CUUUUAUCAAUUAACCAGAAAUCUGGGUCUAUCAGCAGAAUUCAUCCAUCCAUCUUUGCUGUGAAACUGGAAACAGAUUUGUUUAAAUUAUUGGUCUUUUAAUUUGCCUCGUUUUGUCUCCUGUCUGAGAAGCCUGUUUAUUUUCAGGCAGCUGCAUAUGUUGGCAUGAUUGAUGAGAUCUGCUACAGUCAAGCAAGCAGCCCUGGGUGACCAGUUUACCCUUCCCCGCUAGGGUUCCAGCUGCCAGUUGCCCCCAUUCUGUGACAGCUUCUCCUUCUUCUCACCUUGUCAUCGAGCCAAGAUUGUACACUGUAGGAGAACAGUGACCUAGAUGACUGUGUUUGUUCACCUUUGCCUUCAUCUCUGACCUCAACUCAGGCCACAAGAGGAGAAGAAAUACAGGUUGAGUUCCAUGGUAGUUAUGUGGAACCAGAACUGACUCCAUGUGGCAGCCAUUUCUGACCCACUGUGAUGGUAUAAAAAGUCACUUAGGAAACAAACUCAGAUGACAAAUGGUAAAAAGAUAAAUUGACUUUUGGAUAUUAGGAUUUUAAGAAACUCUCUAUAUGCCACAGCAUAAUAUGCUGUUUUGAUAGAUUAGUGAGCUUGUAACAGCAAUUUUCCCAACUCAGUGCAUAUGAUCGAGGAUAGUGAUGGCAGCAGUGAGGCUAUACCUUAUACCCAUUCAGGAGAGGUCAAUUUCUAACAUAGCA
This 713-nucleotide long non-coding RNA is filed under the name Felis catus (domestic cat). Its description in RNAcentral is "lncRNA (ENSFCAG00000053760.1)". Lineage: Eukaryota; Metazoa; Chordata; Mammalia; Carnivora; Felidae. The record is from RNAcentral.